CUUUUCAUGUUUCAAGUACUUCUUUCGACGGACUGAGCAUGUAAAAUAUGUAAUGCCUCGAGAUAAAAAUGAUAAGUCUAGUUUUCGUGUGUUUAUUGACCUCGGCUUCGCCUCGGAUCAACAAUUCACACGAAAACUCUACUUUAGAUCUUUUUUCCCUUCUAGUCAGGUCAAA
Long non-coding RNA from Bradysia coprophila, 175 nucleotides. The record is from RefSeq and is a predicted model, not a curated record. NCBI's taxonomy places the organism in Eukaryota, Metazoa, Arthropoda, Insecta, Diptera, Sciaridae.